GUUAGUGGCGGACGGGUGAGUAACACGUGGGAACGUGCCUUUAGGUUCGGAAUAGCUCCUGGAAACGGGUGGUAAUGCCGAAUGUGCCCUUCGGGGGAAAGAUUUAUCGCCUUUAGAGCGGCCCGCGUCUGAUUAGCUAGUUGGUGAGGUAACGGCUCACCAAGGCGACGAUCAGUAGCUGGUCUGAGAGGAUGACCAGCCACACUGGGACUGAGACACGGCCCAGACUCCUACGGGAGGCAGCAGUGGGGAAUCUUGCGCAAUGGGCGAAAGCCUGACGCAGCCAUGCCGCGUGAAUGAUGAAGGUCUUAGGAUUGUAAAAUUCUUUCACCGGGGACGAUAAUGACGGUACCCGGAGAAGAAGCCCCGGCUAACUUCGUGCCAGCAGCCGCGGUAAUACGAAGGGGGCUAGCGUUGCUCGGAAUUACUGGGCGUAAAGGGCGCGUAGGCGGAUCGUUAAGUCAGAGGUGAAAUCCCAGGGCUCAACCCUGGAACUGCCUUUGAUACUGGCGAUCUUGAGUAUGAGAGAGGUAUGUGGAACUCCGAGUGUAGAGGUGAAAUUCGUAGAUAUUCGGAAGAACACCAGUGGCGAAGGCGACAUACUGGCUCAUUACU
This 615-nucleotide ribosomal RNA is filed under the name uncultured bacterium. Its description in RNAcentral is "bacterial SSU rRNA". It matches the Rfam family "Bacterial small subunit ribosomal RNA", at positions 91 to 741 of the family's 1533-position model. The record is from RNAcentral.